This 1040-nucleotide ribosomal RNA is filed under the name Lamproblatta sp. LA male. RNAcentral describes it as "16S ribosomal RNA". The stretch from base 618 to 1040 matches the Rfam family "Bacterial large subunit ribosomal RNA", at positions 2045 to 2700 of the family's 2925-position model. The record is from RNAcentral. Lineage: Eukaryota; Metazoa; Arthropoda; Insecta; Blattodea; Lamproblattidae.
AUAAGAGUUAAUUUUAUAUAUAUUGUUUAUUAUUUCAUAAUUAUCAAUAAUAUUAAUUUAGUGGUGAAAUGUUAUUCGUUUAUAAUUGUAUCUAGUUUUUUGGGAAAUGAAUUUAAUUCUAUAUUUUUUUAUAUUUGUAUAUAUUGUUUAUAUUUAUUUAUUAAAAUAUAAUAUUGUGGGGGAUAAGCUUUAUAGUAAAAUUUUAUAAUUGUGAUUUAUUUAUAUUUUUUUUUGGUUUUAUAGUAAUUAUAAAUUUAUAUUGUGUUAAAACUUUAAUUUUAUUUUUUUUUGAUUUUAUUUAAUUUAAAUUUUUUACUGGGAUUAUAAAAUUUAUUUUUUAUUUUUUGUAAUAAUGAUGUAAUUAGUAUAUUUAUUAUUUAUAUUAUAAUUUAUUUGUAUAAUUUUUUUUGAGGAAUUUGGCAAAUUUUAUUUUCGCCUGUUUAACAAAAACAUCUUUUCUUGUUUAUUAUAUGAAGUAUAAUCUGCCCACUGAUAAUUUUGAAGGGCCGCGGUAUAUUGACCGUGCAAAGGUAGCAUAAUCAUUAGUCUUUUAAUUGUGGACUGGAAUGAAUGAUUUGACGAGAAAUAUUCUAUCUUUAUUAAAUGUAUUGAAUUUAAAUUCUUAGUUAAAAUGCUUAGAUUAAUUUAUGGGACGAGAAGACCCUAUAGAAUUUUAUAUAUUUAUUGGGCAGUUAUGUUUGUUUAGUGUGUAUUUAUUUAUUUAUUUAAUUGGGGUGAUUGGAAAAUAAAAUUAACUUUUUUUUUUGUUUAACAUUGAUUUAUGGGAUUUUGAUCCAUUAUUUUUGAUUAAAAGAUUAAAUUACCUUAGGGAUAACAGCGUAAUCUUUUUUGAGAGUUCUUAUCGAUAAAGGGGUUUGCGACCUCGAUGUUGGAUUAAGAAUAUAUUUGGGUGUAGAUGUUCAAUAGUUAGGUCUGUUCGACCUUUAAAUUCUUACAUGAUCUGAGUUCAAACCGGUGUGAGCCAGGUUGGUUUCUAUCUUUAAAGUUUUUAAUAUUUUAGUACGAGAGGACCAGGUAUU